AGAUUCGGCAGAGAUUUUCCUCCUCCGUGAUGAGAUUUUUCCUCCUUCGUGAUCUGCAAAUAAAUACCAAACAAAUUCAAAAUAAUCAAAAAAAAGAGAAUUCAAAAUUUAUUCCCCUCAACCCACGAUUUAAAAACCGUUCCCCUCUCUUCCAUGAAUCUCUCCCUAAAUCCAAACUACUCAUCAGCCAUCUUUUCUCUAUUAUAUAUUUUUCUCUCCAAAUCACACUUCUCAGCUCUCUUUCUCUCCAAGAACUUGUUCAUGUCUAACGGGAAUGGCACAUACAAUUGAUGCUUGUGUUGUUAUGCAACAAGGGAGAGUUCAACAAGUUUUGAUUUUUUUUUUGAAGUCGGCUGUUAUGGGGAUUGAGAACCAAUGCUCCAAAGGUGGGAAUUAUAUUGGUGGCUUCCUCCAGAUGUUUGAUUGGAAUGCUGAAUCUAGGAAGAAGCUGUUUUCAAGCAAGUCAGAAGUAACCGAGAAAUCCAAACAGAAGAAAAGAUGUGACGGGAAUUCGCCAAGGACGCAUCUUUCCAUGGGAGUUAGAAAGUAAAAGAGAAUCAAUAGUUGCUGUGAUGAUUUCUGAUAGCUCGCUGAUGGAAGAGUAACAGCGGUUUAGAACCUCGACUUCGAUGCGGCGGCGCACGCCGAGCAGCAGGAAUGGACGACGACACUGCUCGUUUAACCGGCGAAUCUCGAUGCAGCAGCAGCAGCGUGAACCGCGACGGCUGGGUCACCUCCGCUCCAACAGUGAUGACAGACGGCGGCAAAUCGGAGCGACGAAAAAUUUGGGAGAGAAGAAGAUGGGCGUGUACAAUGGGGGAAGAAAAUAAGGAUUUGGGCCUAUGGUUUUUUUUUAAAAAGAUUGGGCCUCAUUAAUUGGAAUAGGAAGAUAUAUUUUUUUAGUUGGGCUAUUGUACCAAAUUUUUCUUUUGGGCCAAGUUGUUAAUGGCUUAAGUGGGCUGGAGUAUUCUUUUUGUUGGGUCAAGCUCGGGCAGCCUCAGCAAUAAUUGAAAGACGGGAAGCAUGGACUUAAGGAGGGAAAUUCUUCGUGAAUCAAUUUGAAGUCGAAGUAAGGAGUCAGAAAAUUAAACAAACGAGGUUGAGCGGUGACGAGCGCGGUGGGUGUUGAGCAUAAAAGUGAGGAAUGUCUACCAAAUGUCAAGAAUAUGUUGUGUCUUCAUACAUAGCAUUAUUCUACUCUCGAAAUGCUUCCGCUAAAUAUUGUUUCUUUUGAGUUGUUGAUUGUUGAGAUACUCUGAUUUUUUUCGAACUAUUCCCAUUUG
This is a long non-coding RNA of Salvia splendens (bonfire salvia), 1283 nucleotides long. RefSeq lists it as uncharacterized. The transcript has 2 exons. NCBI's taxonomy places the organism in Eukaryota, Viridiplantae, Streptophyta, Magnoliopsida, Lamiales, Lamiaceae. The record is from RefSeq and is a predicted model, not a curated record.